UGGGGGAGUAUUGCACAAUGGGGGAAACCCGUAGAUGCAGCGACGCCGCGUGGAGGAAGAAGGUUUUCGGUAUUGUAAACUCCUGUCGUUAGGGACGAUAAUGACGGUACCUGACUAAGAAGCACCGGCUAAAUACGUGCCAGCAGCCGCGGUAAUACGUAUGGUGCAAGCGUUAUCCGGAUUUACUGGGUGUAAAGGGAGCGCAGGCGGUGCGGCAAGUCUGAUGUGAAAGCCCGGGGCUCAACCCCGGUACUGCAUUGGAAACUGUCGUACUAGAGUGUCGGAGGGGUAAGUGGAAUUCCUAGUGUAGCGGUGAAAUGCGUAGAUAUUAGGAGGAACACCAGUGGCGAAGGCGGCUUACUGGACGAUAACUGACGCUGAGGCUCGAAAGCGUGGGGAGCAAACAGGAUUAGAUACCCUGGUAGU
This 426-nucleotide ribosomal RNA is filed under the name uncultured Roseburia sp. Its description in RNAcentral is "bacterial SSU rRNA". It matches the Rfam family "Bacterial small subunit ribosomal RNA", at positions 354 to 794 of the family's 1533-position model. Lineage: Bacteria; Bacillati; Bacillota; Clostridia; Lachnospirales; Lachnospiraceae. The record is from RNAcentral.